Molecule: transfer RNA, 90 nt
Filed under: Rubripirellula reticaptiva
Lineage: Bacteria; Pseudomonadati; Planctomycetota; Planctomycetia; Pirellulales; Pirellulaceae
Also listed under: 1 other name
Description: Planctomycetes bacterium Poly59 tRNA-Ser
Rfam family: tRNA
About the family: Transfer RNA (tRNA) molecules are approximately 80 nucleotides in length. Their secondary structure includes four short double-helical elements and three loops (D, anti-codon, and T loops).
Source: RNAcentral
GGACGGUUGGCCGAGUCUGGUUUAUGGCACCGGUCUUGAAAACCGGCGUGGGGGAAACUCUACCGGGGGUUCGAAUCCCUCACCGUCCGC